GAUGAAGAACGCAGCGAAAUGCGAUACUUGGUGUGAAUUGCAGAAUCCCGUGAACCAUCGAGUCUUUGAACGCAAGUUGCGCCCGAAGCCAUUAGGCCGAGGGCACGCCUGCCUGGGCGUCACACGUCGUUGCCCCCCCCAUCUACUCCUUCGGGAUUGCGGGGGGCGGAUGAUGGCCUCCCGUGCGCCUCGCCGCGCGGUUGGCAUAAAUGCCAAGUCCUCGGCGACGCACGCCACGACAAUCGGUGGUUGCGAAACCUCGGUUGCCCGUCGUGUGCGGUCGUCGCGCAUCGAGGGCUCGAAAAAAUUGCCGAGUUCCGGCUCGGCUUUCAACGCGACCCCAGGUCAGGUAGGGAUACCCGCUGAACUUAAGCAUAUCAAUAAGCGGAGGA
Molecule: unclassified non-coding RNA, 392 nt
Filed under: soil metagenome
Description: partial contains 5.8S ribosomal RNA, internal transcribed spacer 2, and large subunit ribosomal RNA
Rfam family: 5.8S ribosomal RNA (bases 1-122)
Source: RNAcentral